CGCCUCGCGGCGUGGCGCCCCGGGCCCCUCGCCCCGCCGCCCCGGGAUCGCGGCCCCGGCCCGCGGACCGCCCUCGCCGCGCUCCUCGCCCCUCGCCCGGCCCCGGCCCCGAUCCCCGCCCCGGCCCCAGCCCGAGCCGCCAGCGCGCAGGUAGCGCCGCCCCGUCCCGAGGCCGGGCCGGGGGCGCGGGGCGGCGGGGUGCGGCGCCCGGGCGGCAAUGACCGCGCAGCGCGCCCGCGGGCCCGGCCCUGAGCCCCGCGGCCCGCGAGCCCCGCCGAGGUGAGCCCCUCCGCGCGCCUCCGAUUCCCGGGGCGGACUGGGAGGGCCGAUUCCGAAGGGCCGGGGGCCGGGGCCGCGGGCGGGGGCGGGGGCCGAGCGUCCGGGUCCCCGCUCCGCGGCGAGGGGCCGCAGGCACCGGCACGCGCCGCCGCGGCUCCCGCCCGGCCCGAGGUCCUGCCCGCGCCCCGCCCCCGCCCCUGCACCCCACGUGGGCCCCCCCAACGCAAAUUUGUCCGCUAAUGGCGCAGGCGAUUAUCUGCGGGGCCGCCGGUGUUGUGUGUCCCGCGGGCAGGGCCCGAGUUACAAGCGCCAGGAAUCCAGACGGUGUUUGGAGGGGGGGCGGGGGAGGUCCGCACUGGCCGAGAUGACGCCGAGCCCCGCGUUAGUGCUGCCGCUGCUGCUGCUGCUGGGGCCCUCCCGCGGCCGCCGCCGCCCGAGGUGAGUGCUGGCGCCCAGCCCGCGCCCCGCCCCGCCCCUGCACCCCACGGGCCCCCAACGCAAAUUUGUCCGCUAAUGGCGCAGGCGAUUAUCUGCGGGGCCGCCGGUGUUGUGUCCUGCGGGCAGGGCCCGAGUUACAAGCGCCAGGAAUCCAGACGGUGUUUGAGGGGGCGGGGAGGUCGGUAAUUAGUGUAAACCCUUUGUCUGCCUUUGAUACCCACGGUUACCCUGCCGCCGCUUCCUCCGCCCGGAGCGCGCCAGGGAAGGCGGGGCGGCCCGCACCUCAGUUCCCCUCGUCCAGGGCCGGGGUGCUGGCGGCCCGGGGCCCUCGGCCCAGGGAGGGAGCAGGGCGGAAAACCAGCCCCCACCCGCACGCAAGUGACC
This 1101-nucleotide long non-coding RNA is filed under the name Bos grunniens (domestic yak). RNAcentral describes it as "lncRNA (ENSBGRG00000019567.1)". The record is from RNAcentral. Lineage: Eukaryota; Metazoa; Chordata; Mammalia; Artiodactyla; Bovidae.